GAGUUUGAUCAUGGCUCAGAUUGAACGCUGGCGGCAGGCUUAACACAUGCAAGUCGAGCGGGGAAGAGUAGUUUGCUACUUUACUUAGCGGCGGACGGGUGAGUAAUACUUAGGAAUCUGCCUAUUAGUGGGGGACAACGUUUCGAAAGGGACGCUAAUACCGCAUACGCCCUACGGGGGAAGGAGGGGAUCACUUGUGACCUUUCGCUAAUAGAUGAGCCUAAGUCGGAUUAGCUAGUUGGUGGGGUAAAGGCCUACCAAGGCGACGAUCUGUAGCGGGUCUGAGAGGAUGAUCCGCCACACUGGGACUGAGACACGGCCCAGACUCCUACGGGAGGCAGCAGUGGGGAAUAUUGGACAAUGGGGGGAACCCUGAUCCAGCCAUGCCGCGUGUGUGAAGAAGGCCUUUUGGUUGUAAAGCACUUUAAGCGAGGAGGAGGCUCUUCUAGUUAAUACCUAGGAUGAGUGGACGUUACUCGCAGAAUAAGCACCGGCUAGCUCUGUGCCAGCAGCCGCGGUAAUACAGAGGGUGCGAGCGUUAAUCGGAUUUACUGGGCGUAAAGCGUACGUAGGCGGCUUUUUAAGUCGGAUGUGAAAUCCCUGAGCUUAACUUAGGAAUUGCAUUCGAUACUGGGAAGCUAGAGUAUGGGAGAGGAUGGUAGAAUUCCAGGUGUAGCGGUGAAAUGCGUAGAGAUCUGGAGGAAUACCGAUGGCGAAGGCAGCCAUCUGGCCUAAUACUGACGCUGAGGUACGAAAGCAUGGGGAGCAAACAGGAUUAGAUACCCUGGUAGUCCAUGCCGUAAACGAUGUCUACUAGCCGUUGGGGCCUUUGAGGCUUUAGUGGCGCAGCUAACGCGAUAAGUAGACCGCCUGGGGAGUACGGUCGCAAGACUAAACUCAAAUGAAUUGACGGGGGCCCGCACAAGCGGUGGAGCAUGUGGUUUAAUUCGAUGCAACGCGAAGAACCUUACCUGGUCUUGACAUAGUAAGAACUUUCCAGAGAUGGAUUGGUGCCUUCGGGAACUUACAUACAGGUGCUGCAUGGCUGUCGUCAGCUCGUGUCGUGAGAUGUUGGGUUAAGUUCCGCAACGAGCGCAACCCUUUUCCUUAUUUGCCGGCACUUCGGUGGGAACUUUAAGGAUACUGCCAGUGACAAACUGGAGGAAGGCGGGGACGACGUCAAGUCAUCAUGGCCCUUACGACCAGGGCUACACACGUGCUACAAUGGUCGGUACAAAGGGUUGCUACCUCGCGAGAGGAUGCUAAUCUCAAAAAGCCGAUCGUAGUCCGGAUUGGAGUCUGCAACUCGACUCCAUGAAGUCGGAAUCGCUAGUAAUCGCGGAUCAGAAUGCCGCGGUGAAUACGUUCCCGGGCCUUGUACACACCGCCCGUCACACCAUGGGAGUUUGUUGCACCAGAAGUAGGUAGUCUAACCGUAAGGAGGACGCUUACCACGGUGUGGCCGACGACUGGGGUGAAGUCGUAACAAGGUA
Molecule: ribosomal RNA, 1493 nt
Filed under: metagenome
Description: bacterial SSU rRNA
Rfam family: Bacterial small subunit ribosomal RNA
Source: RNAcentral